ACACUUGUUGCGUUUUACCCUAUUUUGAGUUAGUAUGCAGUUGCAUCUACUUUAGGAUCAAGUUGAAGGCAAAAGAAAUGAAAACAUGCCAUUUUUGGAGCUGACCCUUAUUCAAACAUGGAAACAAGUUUCGUGACCUGCUUUGAAGUCCAAAUAAAGAAUCCAAGGCAAACCUGGCUUGGUUGAAGACUAAGAGCAGAAUGGGAAAGCAAUGGGGAUUUCUAGCCUAAUUUGGAGGUGCCAAAUAAGGCAAAAACGUGAAAAACAAAGGCUGAUUUGUUAGGAUCUCUUUGGAAUAUCUUGC
RNAcentral lists this long non-coding RNA (304 nucleotides) under Prunus persica (peach). RNAcentral's name for it is "long non-coding RNA (PPER_LNC008532)". The record is from RNAcentral. Lineage: Eukaryota; Viridiplantae; Streptophyta; Magnoliopsida; Rosales; Rosaceae.